GGUCAGUGAUGUCUGUCAUGGCAUGUAUUAGCUGAAUGCCAACAUGAUGCUUUUCAGAGACUCUGAGACCUU
This is a small nucleolar RNA of Chionomys nivalis (European snow vole), 72 nucleotides long. RefSeq annotates it as small nucleolar RNA SNORD45. NCBI's taxonomy places the organism in Eukaryota, Metazoa, Chordata, Mammalia, Rodentia, Cricetidae. The record is from RefSeq and is a predicted model, not a curated record. The transcript has a single exon.